AAACAACACCUUACAUUAUUCCAAAGGCAGUCACUUUCAGGUUGCCAACAACUCAAAUUAUUUAUAGGAGACUGAUUUAUACACUUAACCCAAUGGGAGAGGAAAUACUUCUAAUUAUAUCCAAACAUCUUUAAUAUGAGGGGAAUUAUACUUGGAGACGUUCAUUGCCAAAAACAAGUUUGGCCAAAUAUGAUUUAAGAAAGAGGAGGCGGCGACAUGUUUUCCAUAUUUGACCCUAUAAAAGUACCCUUGGAAUGAGUGUGACUUGUCUUUCCUCAUAAAGCUUCAAGUUCUGCCCCACUUCAAGGUUGCAUCUCAAAGGGUCUUUGACUGGGCUGCCAUCAAUAACCCGCAGCCAUGAGUUCCGACCAGGAAAUGGC
Molecule: long non-coding RNA, 380 nt
Filed under: Sus scrofa (pig)
Lineage: Eukaryota; Metazoa; Chordata; Mammalia; Artiodactyla; Suidae
Description: lncRNA (ENSSSCG00005040972.1)
Source: RNAcentral